Molecule: long non-coding RNA, 534 nt
Organism: Nicotiana attenuata
Lineage: Eukaryota; Viridiplantae; Streptophyta; Magnoliopsida; Solanales; Solanaceae
Exons: 3
Source: RefSeq, a predicted model, not a curated record
CAAUAAUGCAAGAAGAAAGUCGAUCAUAAUAAUGGUUGGCAUCAAGAAAAAGAAAAUCAUUCUCAUAAUAGCAUGGUUUUCUUUUUCCUUUUAUUCUUUUAACUCAAUUGAAUCAGUGAAUCACCAUGAUGGAAUUGGAGUUUUUGUAUAUGCGAGCCAAUUAUCUAUUCUAGCUGAUUUGUAUUAAUCCAGACACAUGUUUGGAAAUAUACAGCUAGAAUAAUAUAAUAAAGGCACCAAGCUCCAUCCAUAUAGAUCUGACCCAACAGAGAAGAUAUUAUCCAAUGUAAUCUCUUUUUCUUUUGGGAUGAUCCAAAAGAGAGAACUAAGAGAUGGUCCUGAGGGAGAUAAUCAAAGGUCAAAUUGUUAUAGAGUUUAAUCAUAUAGUUUGAUUUCUAGAGACGUUUUGACCGAUGAUAUCUACUUGAACCUUCGAUGUUCUCUUAUUAAUUAAUAUGUAUUGAAAAAUAAAGGACUAAAAGAGAUGCAUUGGCAAAAUGUACCUCUCUUCUGUAUAGAAUAUGGAUAUGAGAA